GCAAGUCGAACGAACUCUGGUAUUGAUUGGUGCUUGCAUCAUGAUUUACAUUUGAGUGAGUGGCGAACUGGUGAGUAACACGUGGGAAACCUGCCCAGAAGCGGGGGAUAACACCUGGAAACAGAUGCUAAUACCGCAUAACAACUUGGACCGCAUGGUCCGAGUUUGAAAGAUGGCUUCGGCUAUCACUUUUGGAUGGUCCCGCGGCGUAUUAGCUAGAUGGUGAGGUAACGGCUCACCAUGGCAAUGAUACGUAGCCGACCUGAGAGGGUAAUCGGCCACAUUGGGACUGAGACACGGCCCAAACUCCUACGGGAGGCAGCAGUAGGGAAUCUUCCACAAUGGACGAAAGUCUGAUGGAGCAACGCCGCGUGAGUGAAGAAGGGUUUCGGCUCGUAAAACUCUGUUGUUAAAGAAGAACAUAUCUGAGAGUAACUGUUCAGGUAUUGACGGUAUUUAACCAGAAAGCCACGGCUAACUACGUGCCAGCAGCCGCGGUAAUACGUAGGUGGCAAGCGUUGUCCGGAUUUAUUGGGCGUAAAGCGAGCGCAGGCGGUUUUUUAAGUCUGAUGUGAAAGCCUUCGGCUCAACCGAAGAAGUGCAUCGGAAACUGGGAAACUUGAGUGCAGAAGAGGACAGUGGAACUCCAUGUGUAGCGGUGAAAUGCGUAGAUAUAUGGAAGAACACCAGUGGCGAAGGCGGCUGUCUGGUCUGUAACUGACGCUGAGGCUCGAAAGUAUGGGUAGCAAACAGGAUUAGAUACCCUGGUAGUCCAUACCGUAAACGAUGAAUGCUAAGUGUUGGAGGGUUUCCGCCCUUCAGUGCUGCAGCUAACGCAUUAAGCAUUCCGCCUGGGGAGUACGGCCGCAAGGCUGAAACUCAAAGGAAUUGACGGGGGCCCGCACAAGCGGUGGAGCAUGUGGUUUAAUUCGAAGCUACGCGAAGAACCUUACCAGGUCUUGACAUACUAUGCAAAUCUAAGAGAUUAGACGUUCCCUUCGGGGACAUGGAUACAGGUGGUGCAUGGUUGUCGUCAGCUCGUGUCGUGAGAUGUUGGGUUAAGUCCCGCAACGAGCGCAACCCUUAUUAUCAGUUGCCAGCAUUAAGUUGGGCACUCUGGUGAGACUGCCGGUGACAAACCGGAGGAAGGUGGGGAUGACGUCAAAUCAUCAUGCCCCUUAUGACCUGGGCUACACACGUGCUACAAUGGAUGGUACAACGAGUUGCGAACUCGCGAGAGUAAGCUAAUCUCUUAAAGCCAUUCUCAGUUCGGAUUGUAGGCUGCAACUCGCCUACAUGAAGUCGGAAUCGCUAGUAAUCGCGGAUCAGCAUGCCGCGGUGAAUACGUUCCCGGGCCUUGUACACACCGCCCGUCACACCAUGAGAGUUUGUAACACCCAAAGUCGGUGGGGUAACCUUUUAGA
Molecule: ribosomal RNA, 1424 nt
Filed under: Lactiplantibacillus plantarum
Lineage: Bacteria; Bacillati; Bacillota; Bacilli; Lactobacillales; Lactobacillaceae
Description: bacterial SSU rRNA
Rfam family: Bacterial small subunit ribosomal RNA
Source: RNAcentral